CGGGAUGUAGCGCAGUCUGGUAGCGCACCUGCUUCGGGAGCAGGGGGUCGCACGUUCAAAUCGUGUCAUCCCGA
This 74-nucleotide transfer RNA is filed under the name Trichlorobacter lovleyi SZ. RNAcentral's name for it is "Geobacter lovleyi SZ tRNA". It matches the Rfam family "tRNA". Rfam says of the family: Transfer RNA (tRNA) molecules are approximately 80 nucleotides in length. The record is from Rfam by way of RNAcentral. Lineage: Bacteria; Pseudomonadati; Thermodesulfobacteriota; Desulfuromonadia; Geobacterales; Geobacteraceae.